Molecule: long non-coding RNA, 721 nt
Organism: Cercocebus atys (sooty mangabey)
Lineage: Eukaryota; Metazoa; Chordata; Mammalia; Primates; Cercopithecidae
Exons: 2
Source: RefSeq, a predicted model, not a curated record
ACGAACGUGCGGUCCCUGUGGAGUGCGGAGGCGGGAGUGUACAGGGGGGUGUGCGGGGGGGUCUUCUGUGAAAGAGGGCUGCGCCCCAGUGUGCUGACGCGCGAAGUCAGGAGGAAAUUAUUUCCCCCGGAGCCCGCGUUCAUUCAGCGUGCUCUCGCCUCUGCGCGAUUGCUUUCUCUGUUCACUGGACGGCGGCUGAAGAGCCCCAAGCGUGAACUCGGCCUGGGCAGUGGUGGCUCGGAAACCCUUGGCCUUUUGCAUAAAGCGGGUAGGGUGGGGGCAGGGAGCGGACAAAACCAAACAAACCCGGGAGCUCCGGCCCAAGCCGACUUUUGCACCUCCUGUAGCACGCCCUGCGGCCCCGGGCCCCUGCUCGUCGGGAGCCUCCCGGGACCACGGGGACGGCUCCACCCCAGGGCAGCGGCGUCCAGCUGGCCCUGGGCCUUGACUGCGGGGAAAAUGUUCUCGAGAGAUGCUACGUCCCGGUAGAGAGAUUUCGCUCCGCUUUUCACAGCUGGCGACUUUUGUUAUUAGAGAUGCAGCUCCAUUUUUAAAACUAAUUGUUGCCACAGAUAGGCGACUACACCUCUGGAAGCAGCAGCUCCAUGCUAGAUGUGGUGGAAGAAUCUAGAGGGAAUGGACUGGAAAUUUGGAAUCACCGGAAAAUAACUCAAGGCAUCGCUAAGCUGUGACUAACAAGAUAAAUGAUUUGUUCGAGGUU